Molecule: ribosomal RNA, 403 nt
Filed under: uncultured bacterium
Lineage: Bacteria
Description: bacterial SSU rRNA
Rfam family: Bacterial small subunit ribosomal RNA
Source: RNAcentral
UUUUGGACAAUGGGCGCAAGCCUGAUCCAGCAAUGCCGCGUGAGUGAAGAAGGCCCUCGGGUUGUAAAGCUCUUUUGUCAGGGAAGAAACGGUGAGCUCUAAUACAGUUUGCUAAUGACGGUACCUGAAGAAUAAGCACCGGCUAACUACGUGCCAGCAGCCGCGGUAAUACGUAGGGUGCAAGCGUUAAUCGGAAUUACUGGGCGUAAAGCGUGCGCAGGCGGUUAUGUAAGUCAGAUGUGAAAUCCCCGGGCUCAACCUGGGAAUGGCAUUUGAGACUGCAUGGCUAGAGUGUGUCAGAGGGGGGUAGAAUUCCACGUGUAGCAGUGAAAUGCGUAGAGAUGUGGAGGAAUACCGAUGGCGAAGGCAGCCCCCUGGGAUAACACUGACGCUCAUGCACGAA